This 1751-nucleotide long non-coding RNA is filed under the name Panax ginseng (ginseng). Its description in RNAcentral is "long non-coding RNA (PGIN_LNC011020)". The record is from RNAcentral. Lineage: Eukaryota; Viridiplantae; Streptophyta; Magnoliopsida; Apiales; Araliaceae.
UUAGCCCAUUUAAUUUAGACUACUGCUCAGUCCUUCUCCACUCCAAUUCUCCUUCUCGUCCUUACUCAGUUACUCCUUACCUUAGACUCGAACUCUCAGAUCUCAGUACUCUCUCUGUCUCUCAGUCCUCAGAUCAGAUAUCUGAUCUCUCUCAUCUCAAGUCUCAAGUCUCGACUGUCUCAUCGUCUUCUCGAACUCUCAGUCUCAGAGUCUCAGAUCUGAGAUCUCUCAAGCCUCAAGUCUCGAACUCUCGAACUCUCGACGCCGGCGACCCUUCAUCACAAACUCUCGAACUCUCAGAUCUUGGCGCCGGCGACAGCUUUCCAUUUGUUAAGGUAAUUUUUUUAUUUACCUUUACUAAAUUCUCGAAGACCGAUUGCUUUUUAGUGCAUCUUUUUAGUGUAUUUAUUUUUGUGUAAUUGUGUCUGUGCAUGUGUAAUUUCUUAGGUUUUGAAAAGAAAUUAGGAAAAAGUUGAUACUCUGUUUUUGUUCCUUAAUUUCUCAGGAAAAAGUUGAUACUCUGUUUUUGUUCCUUAAUUUCUCAGGAAAAAGUUGAUACUCCAGUAGUUGCUGAAUAGCGACGUGAUGAUUGUAUAUUUUAUUUGUAUAUAUAGUUUUCUCCUUAUCUGUUUUCAUGCUUGAGAUUGAUGAGGCAGGAGUACUGAAAUUUGAGUCAUUUUGAUCUGAACUAGGCUGCCGCCUCAUACAACGGAGGUUUUGCCCCAUUGGUGCGUUUUUUUUUUCUUCCAAUAAAAAUAUCAUCUAUGAAUCUCCAAAGUGAGAAAUGGUUUGAAUUUGUUAUCUUGAAUGUAUUAUAAAGAAAAAUCUCGACGGAGAAUGAUAGAGGAAAAUCAUAGUCAUGGGCCCUUUGAUUGCCAAGUCAUGAGUUUAUUAUCUAUUUCAUAGUUUAUUUAUAACCAUAAAAUUUUGUUAAUUUUUAUUUAUUUAGUUACACAUAUAUAUGUAACAUAUUUAGCCACAGAUUCCUCUACUUUAGGCCACUUGAAGAUUGAUACAAAAAUGGUGAUAAAAGCAAAGCUUAUCUGGUAUUAGUUGGUGUUAAAAGGAGUAUGUAGUAGUAACAAAUAGAAGUAUUCUUCAUGUGUCAGACAAAAGUUACUCUCUUUUAGUGCAUACAUAGUCCUUGAGACUUUAAAUUCACUAUUAUUUUGGGUUGUAAAGAAACUAACAUUUUAGCAACCAGUACUAACAUUUCACUAUUGUUUGUUUGAAAUUUUCAGAUGAUGUCAAGAAGUAUUUUAAACGAUUUGCAUAUGGUGGAUGAUACAGACGAGCCUGAUUUAUUCAUUGUAUACAUUUAAUGAGCAUCAAUUUAUUUGUAACUGAUGUAGUUUCUUUCUUUUUAUUCAUUGCAGUUUGGAAGUUGGCUCAGUUGUCUCAUGCUCAUUGACUGUUGUUGUAGUUUGGAAGUUUGCUGUUGAGUGUCUCAGUCAGUUAGUUGGUGUUGGAUCAUUCAUGUUUUUAUAAUUUGUCUUGUUGGAUCAUUUCUGUUUUUGUUAUUGCUGUUGGUAUUGUCUCAGUUGGUGAUGGAUCAGUUGGUGACUUGGUGUUGGUCCUGUUGGUGACUUGGUGUCUAAUACUCUCAUUCAUGUUUUUGUUAUUGCUCUAAUGCUCUUGGUGUUGGUCUGUUGGAUCAGUUGGUGUUGUCUCCGUUGUCUCAAGACUCUCAGUUGGUGUUGUCCUGUUAGAGCUUUUGGAUAUCUUGUUGAAUGUUGAAUUGUUGAUUGCUG